UGCCCCCUUCUCACUUUGCCAAUUGGACUUAUGUCUUAAUUGUCAUUCAAGUGGAGCAAAGGAAGUGUCCUUCUAAAACUCAGGCAAACUGGACAUUUAUCUUGUAUUUUGUCAGGGAAAACAUCG
Small nucleolar RNA from Sorex araneus (European shrew), 126 nucleotides. The record is from Ensembl. Lineage: Eukaryota; Metazoa; Chordata; Mammalia; Eulipotyphla; Soricidae.